UUAUUUAACAUAAUUGUUUUAAUUUAUUUCCUGAUUCUUUGUUGGGUAAUACUAUUUGCAGAUUCCGUGAUUCAUGGGUUUACUCCCGUCGGACAUGCUAAUCAUUACAUGCCAUCUUUGAAAGCAGAUUCCAUUGUGAAAGUAGAUCGUUUUGAGGUUGCUAGGUGCUCCAAGUGAUUGCGAACACAAACCUAGAAAUUGGUAAACAUAGCAUAUUUGGCAGCUCCAAGCAAGAUUACAAUCAGGCAAAUUCAAGUGGAAUGACAUACCAACAACUGAAACUGCCUCUGUCAUGGAUAGCUCUCUCCCAAGAAUUGCAUUGACUAUGGUUUCUGGGAAGAAAAAGAUCUUGCUCCUGAAAAAAAACCGUGACAACCCUGUUGUAAGAUUUUAGUUUGUGCAGAACAAAAAACCUUGAUUUAUUUUCUAUUUAGUAUAGUGAUAGUUGUUGACAAUCAUUAGUUAUUUGCCAAUAUGUUUUUUAUGCGGCAUUUCAGAACUCUCCAUUCCAAGCGGAAUAGCAGAUGAAAGCUAAUUUUUUUGGAAGCUCAUCGACUUCAAGACAGAAUCAGAAGAUAGAUGUUGGUAGGAGGUUAAUCAAGGGAAUAUUUCAGAGAAGUGAGACGGCCUAGCCAGACUUCAUCUUUUGUACAGCCUGAGCAAAGAGUGGAACCCACAAAACACGAGAGAAGAAAAAACAAAACACGAAAUUAACAUAUUCAGAUCUUCUCUCUUGCAUGUCUAACAUCUGGCGCCGACGAAACUCAACACCCACGGCAGACGAAGCUGAUGCAAGUAAACCUCUCAUCAAUCAUGCUUAAAAUCAAUCUACGCUUUUCAAUCUCACAAACUAAGAAACAAUUUUACCUACAUGAAUCGGGAAAUUAGUGCCCACAUUCCCGACAUAGAGAAAAAAAGGAGUUGAAAUCCUAACAGUUUUUUCAGUAUUAGACUAAACCACAGAUUCAAGGCCCAGUUAUUUUGAAACCCUAACAUUUUAAAUCUAAAUUUAUUAUCUUUUUCCAUGCACUAUUUGAUUUAUAUACAAACAACUACCUAAGUAAACACUAACAAGUUCCAUCACCCUCAACUUUGAACAUAUAAGAUAUAAAAAUAUCAACAUAUGACUUCAUCGUUCAUUCUUAUAUCAAACUCAUCAACUUAUGUAAUAUCCAAAGUCCCAUCAAUCACAUUAUAGACAAAAAACAAUAAAAUUCCGUAAACAAAACUAUACAAUACACCUAUAAUGUAGCCGACCCCGCGCUUGCGCGGAGACUAUGCACCUAGUGUAUAUAAAAACCCAAUCCAAACCCAUACCCAAUAGUUUUAUGUCAAUGAACGUUAGUUUUUAAUCUACUAAUCAAACUCCUAUAGGCUUUCUUUGGUUUAUCUUGUUAAUCAAUUUUUUUUUAAUCUCCAUUAUCAGUUUUGGCCUUUUAGGUAGUACAAAUAUUGUUUCCUAAACAACAAGAUAACUCAAAGUAUGUACACGGAGUUGGUUGAGAACCAAUUAAACAUAUUAACCCAUCGAAAAGAUUUUAGAAGUAUACGUUUGGAGUGUUUUGUUUUCAGUUUAUCACUAACCAACUAAUAAAUGACUAUUAAAAAUUUAGUAUGUAGUACCUAAUUAGUGAUAGAUUAAGGACCUAAUCAUAAUCAUAAGUGGAGUCAACUAUUCCAAAAGCACUAUUUCUAUAUGUGGUUCAACAAAACUGACUAUAGUACAAUAAUACCAAAGAGAUCCAUCAGUACAAUAAUCACAAAGAGAUUUGAUAGAACGAUGUCCACUAGUUGUACAAUCAUAAGGUGAUUAUUCCACAUAGAAAACAUGUUUCAGAGACUGAAUAAUAACAUUCCUUUCAUUAAUCUUAUAAAAUCAUUUGAGUAAUACAAAAGAGAAGAUGAUGCAGAGACAGCAGAUGAGAGAUGUCACGUCCCCUCAAAACACACAAAUAAUAAAACAAAAUAAAAAAAUCACAAACCCCAAAGAAAAAACAUUUUUUUAAAACUUCUGUAAUUUUACAAUUUUUUAAAAACAUUUUCUUUUUUUUUUAACAUAAGAAAA
Molecule: long non-coding RNA, 2065 nt
Organism: Brassica napus (rape)
Lineage: Eukaryota; Viridiplantae; Streptophyta; Magnoliopsida; Brassicales; Brassicaceae
Exons: 2
Source: RefSeq, a predicted model, not a curated record